CAGAGCGUAGCUAAGAGUAUAGCAUCUCCCUUACACCGAGAAGACGCCCGUGCAAGCCGGGUCGCCCUGA
RNAcentral lists this transfer RNA (70 nucleotides) under Sufflogobius bibarbatus (pelagic goby). RNAcentral describes it as "tRNA-Val". It matches the Rfam family "tRNA". From Rfam's summary of the family: Transfer RNA (tRNA) molecules are approximately 80 nucleotides in length. Their secondary structure includes four short double-helical elements and three loops (D, anti-codon, and T loops). Lineage: Eukaryota; Metazoa; Chordata; Actinopteri; Gobiiformes; Gobiidae. The record is from RNAcentral.